CCUACGGGUGGCAGCAGUGGGGAAUAUUGGGCAAUGGGCGCAAGCCUGACCCAGCAACGCCGCGUGAAUGAAGAAGGCUUUCGGGUUGUAAACUUCUUUUAUCAGGGACGAAGCAAGUGACGGUACCUGAUGAAUAAGCCCCGGCUAACUACGUGCCAGCAGCCGCGGUAAUACGUAGGUGGCAAGCGUUAUCCGGAUUUACUGGGUGUAAAGGGCGCGUAGGCGGGGGUGCAAGUCAGAAGUGAAAACUAGGGGCCCAACCCCUGGACUGCAUUGGAAACUGUACGGCUGGAGUGCAGGAGAGGCAAGUGGAAUUCCGUGUGUAGCGGUGAAAUGCGUAGAUAUACGGAGGAACACCAGUGGCGAAGGCGGAUUACUGGACUGUAACUGACGCUGAGGCUCGAAAGCGUGGGGAGCAAACAGGAUUAGAUACCCCGGUAGUC
This 443-nucleotide ribosomal RNA is filed under the name uncultured bacterium. Its description in RNAcentral is "partial 16S ribosomal RNA". It matches the Rfam family "Bacterial small subunit ribosomal RNA", at positions 338 to 795 of the family's 1533-position model. The record is from RNAcentral.